AUGAUCCCGCCAGACAUGGACCCAGCGGUCUCUGAGGAGAGGCUCAGGAGGGAGAUUAUGGACAGGGUUUACAGACUCUGUGAGUUGUGGUGGGAGAAGCCCGCAGAAGGGUUGCGUCGCGCCGUGGGGAGGCGGCUGCAGGAGACGCUUUUUAAAUUCCCUUGGCUGGUUGACGAUCUCAAUCCUGUCGUCAUGGACUUCCUGCUUUCCACCCUCCACCUCCACUCUCCUCCUCAGGCUGCUCACCAGCCCAGACAGCUGGUGGAUUCAAAGCCUGACACGCCGGCCCCGACGUCUACCCGGAGACGACGUUUGCGCCGCCAGCGUUCCUCACCGCAGCCUAAUCCACGGACAUCUCAAGAGCCGGCUGUGGUGAGCAAUACGGACAUUUUUUCAUUUCCCUCACCAUCUGUUUGUGUGUCUGCAGUGGACGAUGACGCUGCCGUAAGCCAUCCGACGGCGCAAGUAACAUCACCUCGGUCAGAGGUCUCCACACCACUCGCUGCUUCACCAUCUGCAGUUGUAGCGCCGCCGUCAUCUCAUCCGCCUGCAGUCACCCUUCUGCCAUCUUCUUCACCGGCUGCUACGUCACCACUCGGACCUGUCCUGCCCGAGCAGGAGCUCAGCUCGCCGGAGCAGCUGCCGGAGGAGCUCAAGAAGCCGGAGCCGCUCAGGGAGCCGGAGCUGCUGCUGGAGGAGCUCAGGGAGCCAGAGCCGCCGCCGCUGCGUUGCCAGCGGAGGAGCUCGACCAGCGGGAGGAGCCUGUGCUGCCAGCGGAAGACCUCGGCAAGCCGGUGGGACCCGCUCAGCCGAAGCUGGAGGUUAGCGAGCUGGAGCUGGAGCUCAGUGAGCAGGAGCAGGAGCUCAGAGAGCGGGAGGAGCCCGCACCGCCAGCUGCGAAGCCCUGCGAGCCGGAGCAUUAGCUCGGAGAGCGGGAGGAGCCCGCACCGCCAGCUGAGGAGCUCAGCGUGCCGGAGGAGCCAGCGCCGCUGCCGGAGGAGCUCAACGAGCCGGAGGGACCGGCGUUGCCAGCAGAGGAGCUCGGCCAGCGGAGGACCUCAGCAAGCCGGAGGGACCUCCACGUCUAGCGCACCCUCCACGCCAUCCACGUCCAGCGCGUCCACGUCAGCGACCAGCGCGCUACACUGCUGCUCACUGUUGCUCGCCGGAGCAACGUCGUUGCCGUCGGACCCGGGGCAAGCCACCGGAGGAGCAGCACUGCCGCCACUGGACCCGGGGCAAGCCGCCGGAGGAGCAGCGCCGCCGCCACUGGACCCGGGCCAGGCCACCGGAGGAGCAGCGCCGCCGCCUCGGGAUCAGGGGAAGGCCACCAGAACCGUUUCGCCGCUGCUGCCGGACCCAUGGCCGCCCGCCGGAGCUGCAACGCUGCCGCCAUUGGAGUCCGCUGAGCCAUACCAUGGACUCAGCGGACUCAGCCCCCACCCAGCAGCCGGUCAUCUCUCCAGAAGCUAUUUUGGAUCGGCACAAACAAAUGUUGCAGCACAUAAAUCAGCUUCUGGUAAGCCCACCCAAACCAUCAGCGCCUGUCUCUUCGCAGUUACUGGCUCAUGAGCCUCCUGCGCCCGGGCCUCCCGUUUCUUCGACACCUGCUCUUUUGGGUGGAUGAACACAUGCGAGCAUGUCGCGGAGCUAGAGACUACAACUCCCAGAGGCCUCUAGGACAUGGGGAAAUGGCCUCUGGCGGAGGCGCGGCCAGUGGCGUGGGAAAUCGGGACAGGAAUUAUGAGGACGAGGGUGAGCAACCCAUGCAAAUAGGGCACUCCAGAUUAUCCCCUGAGGAGCGACAACGUCGGUGGAGGGCCGGUGAGUGCUUCUACUGCGGCCGCAGAGGCCAUAUUGCCAUCUCUUGUCCAGCGCAGCCAAAAGAUUGCACCCGCCAGUCGAGAGGAGAGUACGGGUGGGCGAGGUUUCCUGUUCACGGUCUCCUGAAUCAUUUCUUCAACAGAUUUGAUUCAGCCAUGAGGCAGUCUUCAACAGCGGCUGCAGACUCACCCACCCCCACUGCUGCUGUUCCACCUCUGACACCUCAGACAAUUCACACCUCCUCUACUCACCCUGCUCACUCCUCCCCACCCCCAACAACAGCAUCCAAUACACACUCAACACAAGCCUCCAGCCUGUCUCUACUCAACCACCCAGGUUAGGAGGGAACUGGGGAGGAUUAAAGCCAAGAUGGCAGCAGGCCCAGAUGGCAUCAGCUCAAGGGUCGUCAGGUCCUGCGCAGACCAACUGUGUGGGGUGAUGGAGCACCUCUUCAACCUGAGCCUGAGGCUGGGGAGAGUCCCACAGCUCUGGAAAACCUCCUGUGUUGUACCAGUGCCAAAGACUUCACGCCCCAAGGACCUCAACAGCUACAGGCCGGUGGCUCUUACAUCCCACCUGAUGAAGACCCUGGAGCGGCUGGUCCUGGAGCGGCUGGUCCUGGCUCAGCUUCAGCGUCUGGUGAGCUCAUCACUGGACCCACUUCAGUUUGCCUACCAGCCUGGCAUUGGAGCGGAUGAUGCCAUCAUUCACCUCCUACAUCAUUCCCUCGCUCACCUGGAGACCACUGGGAGCACUGUGAGAAUCAUGUUCUUUGAUUUCUCCAGUGCCUUCAACACUAUUCUUCCCAAGGUCCUGAAGGACAAGCUGGAGAACUCAGGAGUGGACCAUCACCUUACUACCUGGAUUUUGCAGUACCUCACCGACCGACCACAGUAUGUGAGGACUCAGGGCUGUGUGUCGGACAGGGUCGUCUGCAGUACGGGGGCCCCACAGGGAACGGUUCUGGCUCCGUUCCUCUUCACCAUCUACACUGCAGACUUCUCCCACAACUCCACCCAGUGCUUCCUGCAGAAGUUCUCUGAUGACUCUGCAAUAGUCGGCCUCAUCACUGAUGGGGACGACAAGGAGUACAGAGGACUGACCCAAGACUUUGUGGACUGGUGCCAGCUGAACUACCUCCAGAUCAACGCCAGUAAAACCAAGGAGCUGGUGGUAGACUUCCACAGGCACAAACAUCCUCCAUUGCAAUCACUGAACAUACAAGACAUUGAGGCUGUGGACAGCUACAGGUACCUUGGUGUUCAUCUGAACUACAAACUGGACUGGACUCAUUCAGACGCCCUCUACAGGAAAGGGCAGAGCAGGCUGUACCUGCUGCAGAGACUCAGGUCGUUUGGAGUAGAGGGCCCACUCCUGAAGACCUUCUAUGACUCUGUGGUGGCCUCAGCCACCUUUAAGGUGUGGUCUGCUGGGGUGGCAGCAUCUCUGCCAGGGACAGGAAGAGACUGAACAGGUUGAUCAGAAGGGCCAGCUCUGUUCUAGGAUGCCCUCUGGACCCAGUGGAGGUGGUGAGUGACAGGAGAAUGGUGGCUAAGCUGUCAUCCCUGCUGGACAACAUCUCCCACCCCAUGCAGGAGACUAUGACAGCACUGAGCAGCUCCUUCAGUGGCAGGCUGCGGCACCCACGGUGUGGGACGGAGAGAUUUCGCAGGUCUUUCCUCCCCACUGCUGUCAGACUCCACAACAAAGACUUCAACUGAUCAAACACACACAUGUGCAAUAACACUAAGUGCAAUACUCUUUUUCUGACAAAGCUGUAUUUUUACUCAGUUGUAUUGAUUUAUUGAUUUAUUGAUUAGCAUUCAAAUAUCUCAGUGAAUACAGAAUAAAGAUUACCACAAAGCAAGAAAGCACGAGACAAGGCUAAUCAAAAGGUAUUGGCUGAAGCAUUUGCUUAUUACGCCAGUUGUAUAAAGCAUUUGCAUUCUAUUUUUAUCCUAUUGUAUAUUUUAUUCUAUUUAUUCUACUGUAUAUAGUAUUUUAUUUUAUUCUAUUCUUUACAGUUGUGUACAGUAUUUUAUUCUUAUUGUAUUCUAAUUUUGCUAUAUAACUUUUGCACUGUCCACUUCCUGCUGUGACAAAACAAAUUUCCCACGUGUGGGACUAAUAAAGGUUAUCUUAUCUUAUCUCGUCUUAUCUUAUCUUAUCUCCACGUUUAAUGCUUGCGGCUAAGUUAACUGUUCACUCUGUUUCUCACCCGCUCCAUGCACUGAUUGAGUCUGGGGCAGAGCAAAAUUUCAUUGACGCCUCAUUUGCUCUCAAAGUUAAACAUGGAACCGCUUCCACACUCACUCCAAGUCACCGCCCCUCAGUGGUCAGCAUCUCCCGGAUAUCACCCACAUUACAGAGCCAAUAUCCUUUACCCUCUCUGGUAAUCACUCUGAAACUUUGUAGUUGUUUGUUUUCAAACCUCCUCUCACACCAUUAGUUUUAGGGUACCCCUGGUUACGUCAGCACAACUCUGUCCUGGACUGGAAGAAAGAAAGUAUUCUGGGGUGGGGAGAGGAAUGCCAUAUGUCCUGUCUAAAAGCCGCAACUCCACCCGUGAACCCGCAGAGUAACCCCCCACCUUCUGAGUCACCCGACCUUUCUUCUGUGCCUUCAGUCUAUCAUGAUCUUAAGCAGGUUUUUUGCGAAGAUAGAGCACGUUCACUUCCCCCUCACCGGCCCUACGUCUGCGGAAUCUACCUUCUCCCGGGCGCACCACUCCCAACCAGCAGAUUA
This 4569-nucleotide long non-coding RNA is filed under the name Oreochromis niloticus (Nile tilapia). RNAcentral's name for it is "lncRNA (ENSONIG00000041989.1)". The record is from RNAcentral. Lineage: Eukaryota; Metazoa; Chordata; Actinopteri; Cichliformes; Cichlidae.